RNAcentral lists this ribosomal RNA (229 nucleotides) under uncultured bacterium. RNAcentral describes it as "partial 16S ribosomal RNA". It matches the Rfam family "Bacterial small subunit ribosomal RNA", at positions 568 to 796 of the family's 1533-position model. The record is from RNAcentral.
UGCGUAGGCGGAAUGAUAAGUUAGUGGUGAAAGCCUCCGGCUCAACCGGAGAACUGCCAUUAAUACUGUCAUUCUUGAGUAUAGUUGAAGUGGGCGGAAUGUAUCAUGUAGCGGUGAAAUGCUUAGAUAUGAUACAGAACACCAAUAGCGUAGGCAGCUUGCUAAACUAUAACUGACGCUCAGGCACGAAAGCGUGGGGAGCAAACAGGAUUAGAUAACCUGGUAGUCC